AAUCCAUGAUGAGGGCAGUCUCUCUCAUACUCUUUAAAUCGCUCCCAGGCUUCAUAGAAUGAUUCUACUGGACCUUGUUGGAAACUUUGUAUCUUCUUUCUCAGCU
This is a small nucleolar RNA of Eutrema salsugineum, 106 nucleotides long. It matches the Rfam family "Plant small nucleolar RNA R71". From Rfam's summary of the family: R71 is a member of the C/D box family of snoRNAs containing the C (UGAUGA) and D (CUGA) box motifs. Multiple nearly identical copies of this snoRNA have been identified in Arabidopsis, and it is thought to function as a 2'-O-ribose methylation guide for 18S ribosomal RNA. The record is from Rfam. Lineage: Eukaryota; Viridiplantae; Streptophyta; Magnoliopsida; Brassicales; Brassicaceae.